GCCCUUACGACCAGGGCUACACACGUGCUACAAUGGCAUAUACAAAGAGAAGCGACCUCGCGAGAGCAAGCGGACCUCAUAAAGUAUGUCGUAGUCCGGAUUGGAGUCUGCAACUCGACUCCAUGAAGUCGGAAUCGCUAGUAAUCGUAGAUCAGAAUGCUACGGUGAAUACGUUCCCGGGCCUUGUACACACCGCCCGUCACACCAUGGGAGUGGGUUGCAAAAGAAGUAGGUAGCUUAACCUUCGGGAGGGCGCUUACCACUUUGUGAUUCAUGACUGGGGUGAAGUCGUAACAAGGUAACCGUAGGGGAACCUGCGGUUGGAUCACUCCUUACCUUAAAGAA
Molecule: ribosomal RNA, 345 nt
Filed under: Klebsiella pneumoniae
Lineage: Bacteria; Pseudomonadati; Pseudomonadota; Gammaproteobacteria; Enterobacterales; Enterobacteriaceae
Description: bacterial SSU rRNA
Rfam family: Bacterial small subunit ribosomal RNA
Source: RNAcentral